AAUUUGGGGAUCAUUUGCGGUCCGGGAUCAUUUGCGGUCCUGGGAUCAUUUGCGGACCCGUACAUAUCUGUCACUGCACUUCUUGAGGUAAAUUUUGCCUCUCUACCAGGCGGUGUUGGACACGGUUCACGUGACAGUAUUCGACCAAUCAUAUGUCGUCUCAGCUGGCGCAAUGGCGUACACAUUUUUCGUUGCGAAUGGAGAGUAGGUACUUUUUCUAGGAGCUGCUAGUGUAAUAUCUAGACCAGUUAUUUGCCAAGCCUUAAGUGCAGUGCGUAUGUCAUCCGUUUGUUUGGCCGAUGUUCAAGAUUUUUGGAUCCUGCUUUGGAUGCUAGUCCAUUAAAGAUUUCAUCUCAUUUUCAAUGAAUUUUCACUAUCAUGAUCACUGCCUGUCUUGAAUUGUAAUCUCUAACAGAAAUUUAUUACUCUUGGAUCGGAUGUUAUUGGUCAGUCAACUAUGGCUGAUUAUUUUGAUCUCCCACUUCUUUAUGCUUGUUUUCCUUGUAAUGUUGUUAGUAGUGGGAGACUAUACAUAAGCUUAAAUCAAUAAAUAAUAGCUGUUUCAUGUG
Molecule: long non-coding RNA, 569 nt
Filed under: Orbicella faveolata
Lineage: Eukaryota; Metazoa; Cnidaria; Anthozoa; Scleractinia; Merulinidae
Description: uncharacterized LOC110051636, transcript variant X1
Source: RNAcentral